This 273-nucleotide ribosomal RNA is filed under the name uncultured bacterium. RNAcentral describes it as "partial 16S ribosomal RNA". It matches the Rfam family "Bacterial small subunit ribosomal RNA", at positions 524 to 796 of the family's 1533-position model. The record is from RNAcentral.
UACGGAAGGUGCAAGCGUUAUCCGGAAUCACUGGGUUUAAAGGGUGCGUAGGCGGCGCAGUAAGUCAGAAGUGAAAGCUCACAGCUUAACUGUGGAAUUGCUUUUGAUACUGCUGUGCUUGAAUUAGGUUGAGGUUGGCGGAAUGAGUCAUGUAGCGGUGAAAUGCAUAGAUAUGACUUAGAACAUCGAUUGCGAAGGCAGCUGGCUAGACCUUAAUUGACGCUGAGGCACGAAAGCGUGGGGAGCGAACAGGAUUAGAUACCCGGGUAGUCC